RNAcentral lists this transfer RNA (74 nucleotides) under Candidatus Altarchaeales archaeon WOR_SM1_SCG. Its description in RNAcentral is "Candidatus Altiarchaeales archaeon WOR_SM1_SCG tRNA". It matches the Rfam family "tRNA". Rfam says of the family: Transfer RNA (tRNA) molecules are approximately 80 nucleotides in length. Their secondary structure includes four short double-helical elements and three loops (D, anti-codon, and T loops). The record is from Rfam by way of RNAcentral. Lineage: Archaea; Nanobdellati; Candidatus Altarchaeota; Candidatus Altarchaeia; Candidatus Altarchaeales.
GCCCCGGUGGCUCAGCCUGGUAGAGCGCCUGCUUGGUAAGCAGGAAGUCGCGGGUUCGGAUCCCGCCCGGGGCU